This 338-nucleotide ribosomal RNA is filed under the name uncultured soil bacterium. Its description in RNAcentral is "bacterial SSU rRNA". It matches the Rfam family "Bacterial small subunit ribosomal RNA", at positions 26 to 396 of the family's 1533-position model. The record is from RNAcentral.
AGAACGAACGCUGGCGGCAUGCCUAAUACAUGCAAGUCGAACGAACUCUUCGGAGUUAGUGGCGCACGGGUGCGUAACGCGUGGGAAUCUGCCCCUUGGUUCGGAAUAACAGUUGGAAACGGCUGCUAAUACCGGAUGAUGACGAAAGUCCAAAGAUUUAUCGCCAAGGGAUGAGCCCGCGUAGGAUUAGCUAGUUGGUGAGGUAAAGGCUCACCAAGGCAACGAUCCUUAGCUGGUCUGAGAGGAUGAUCAGCCACACUGGACUGAGACACGGCCCAGACUCCUACGGGAGGCAGCAGUGGGGAAUUUGGACAAUGGGGAACCCUGAUCCAGCCAUU